RNAcentral lists this ribosomal RNA (309 nucleotides) under uncultured bacterium. RNAcentral's name for it is "partial 16S ribosomal RNA". It matches the Rfam family "Bacterial small subunit ribosomal RNA", at positions 504 to 808 of the family's 1533-position model. The record is from RNAcentral.
AGAGACAGCAGCCGCCGCGGUAAUACGAGGGGGCAAGCGUUGUUCGGAAUUAUUGGGCGUAAAGGGUGCGUAGGCGGUUUGGCAAGUUUGGUGUGAAAUCUUCGGGCUCAACUCGAAGUCUGCAUCGAAAACUGCCGGGCUUGAGUAUGGGAGAGGUGAGUGGAAUUUCCGGUGUAGCGGUGAAAUGCGUAGAUAUCGGAAGGAACACCUGUGGCGAAAGCGGCUCACUGGACCAUAACUGACGCUGAUGCACGAAAGCUAGGGGAGCAAACAGGAUUAGAUACCCCGGUAGUCCCUGUCUCUUAUACA